UACAGAGGGGGCAAGCGUUGUUCGGAAUUACUGGGCGUAAAGGGCGCGUAGGCGGCCUUCUAAGUCGAACGUGAAAUCCCCGGGCUCAACCCGGGAACUGCGUCCGAUACUGGAAGGCUUGAAUCCGGGAGAGGGAUGUGGAAUUCCAGGUGUAGCGGUGAAAUUCGUAGAUAUCGAGAAGAACACCGGUGGCGAAGGCGGUCGACUGGGCCAGUACUGACGCUGAGGCGCGACAGCGUGGGGAGCAAACAGG
This 253-nucleotide ribosomal RNA is filed under the name uncultured bacterium. RNAcentral describes it as "partial 16S ribosomal RNA". It matches the Rfam family "Bacterial small subunit ribosomal RNA", at positions 524 to 776 of the family's 1533-position model. The record is from RNAcentral.